RNAcentral lists this ribosomal RNA (420 nucleotides) under Escherichia coli. RNAcentral's name for it is "bacterial SSU rRNA". It matches the Rfam family "Bacterial small subunit ribosomal RNA", at positions 36 to 452 of the family's 1533-position model. Lineage: Bacteria; Pseudomonadati; Pseudomonadota; Gammaproteobacteria; Enterobacterales; Enterobacteriaceae. The record is from RNAcentral.
GGCCCUGGGGGCGGCUACCAUGCAAGUCGAACGGUAACAGGAAGAAGCUUGCUUCUUUGCUGACGAGUGGCGGACGGGUGAGUAAUGUCUGGGAAACUGCCUGAUGGAGGGGGAUAACUACUGGAAACGGUAGCUAAUACCGCAUAACGUCGCAAGACCAAAGAGGGGGACCUUCGGGCCUCUUGCCAUCGGAUGUGCCCAGAUGGGAUUAGCUAGUAGGUGGGGUAACGGCUCACCUAGGCGACGAUCCCUAGCUGGUCUGAGAGGAUGACCAGCCACACUGGAACUGAGACACGGUCCAGACUCCUACGGGAGGCAGCAGUGGGGAAUAUUGCACAAUGGGCGCAAGCCUGAUGCAGCCAUGCCGCGUGUAUGAAGAAGGCCUUCGGGUUGUAAAGUACUUUCAGCGGGGAGGAAGGG